Molecule: long non-coding RNA, 654 nt
Organism: Sapajus apella (tufted capuchin)
Lineage: Eukaryota; Metazoa; Chordata; Mammalia; Primates; Cebidae
Exons: 3
Source: RefSeq, a predicted model, not a curated record
GAGAUAUUAAAAAUUGCUAGAAACACAGGACAACUUUGCAGUGUGUGUUUCAGCUCAGAACACCUACCUUAGUGCAAAGGCCUGGCUGAUCCCACUGCUGAACUACAAAGAGCUGUGUGGACAGGAUAUCCCUUUGACCCUGAGCUUCAGAUAAGCCCCACAGACACUCAACGCUGGAUACAUCUGUCAAGAUGGAAUGUUUAAAUGUGUGAACUUCUAAAAGUAAGGGCCAAGAUAACAAAAGAAGAAAUAAUUACAGAUCUUGGUUUCACUGGACCUGUCUCCUCUCCUGUAAAAAGAAGUUGAUAUGAAUGCCUGCCUGUUUUUGUUACCAUGAGCUUAUGCAUAGAGAGAGCUUAACCAGAGCUGGCACACAGUAAACAGAGUGUGGCGUGUUUACUACUGUUAUCAUUUGUGAGGACACUACCACUAUAAGGCAACACAGCCCUAACUAAACCACUCCUGCAAGUGGCUUCACUCCACCAGGAUCUACUCUUUGUUUUUGAGACAGAGUCUCGCACUGUCUCUCCCAGGAUGGAGUGCAGUGGCACAAUCUUGGCUCACUGCAGCCUCCGCCUCCUGGGUUCAAGCAAUUCUCCUAUCUCAGCCUCCCAAGGAGCUGGGACUACAGGUGUGUGCCACCACACCCGGUUA